Molecule: non-coding RNA, 236 nt
Organism: Struthio camelus australis
Lineage: Eukaryota; Metazoa; Chordata; Aves; Struthioniformes; Struthionidae
Source: RefSeq, a predicted model, not a curated record
GUUCAGGCAGCGAGAGAGAUGCUGAAGACGGCAAGGUGCUAGAGGAACCUGCGUUUUGCUAAGGAGGGAAACUUCUUCACUUCCUAUCUCAAACAUUUCUGUCGGACUUCCAGUAUUAAACAUCUACAUCUCCGCUCAAGAAGUGCUUCUGGUUCAGAGUAUUCUCAAGACUGAAGUUGUUCAACAUAAUAGAAGGAGAAGCUGGGCCUGUUCAGCCUGGAGAAGAGAAGAUUGAG